CUCCAAGAGCCCCUGCGCAUGCUUGUAACUGACUUUGUUAUGUGUCUUGUCUUUUAGCUGGCAGUUCGUCAUAAAAAUGGAGGACGCUUGCAAGAUACUAUGAAUCGUGCGGAAUAAGGGCCAGCGCGACUGAAGUGAGAAACGCUGCAAAUACAUGAAUACUGGGGGCCUGGCAAAAAUCAGCAAAGCUGCUACACAGUUCCCACAGAAUUCCCAGUUCACUCACAAUUGGCUUUGGGAUGGACAGGAUUGCUGACAGUUGGUGAGUCUAAGUCAUCUUCAGGUGAAGUAGCAUUGAUGUCUAUUAGUACCAAUUCGUGAC
Molecule: long non-coding RNA, 322 nt
Organism: Ornithodoros turicata
Lineage: Eukaryota; Metazoa; Arthropoda; Arachnida; Ixodida; Argasidae
Exons: 3
Source: RefSeq, a predicted model, not a curated record